Molecule: long non-coding RNA, 1414 nt
Organism: Papaver somniferum (opium poppy)
Lineage: Eukaryota; Viridiplantae; Streptophyta; Magnoliopsida; Ranunculales; Papaveraceae
Exons: 2
Source: RefSeq, a predicted model, not a curated record
CAUUCCAUUUCUUUUAUUCUAAUUUCAUUCUCUUUCUUUCUUCUCGUUCUUUCUUCCGCUUUUCCUCUGUUUUCUCCUCUUUCGAUUUCUGAGAGAUGGAAUUGGGUUUUGUUUGAGGGAACUAGUUGGUGAAGCUGCGUAGAUGUAUGAGAUGUAGUUGUUGUGAAUUAUGAAGAAGAACAAUAAGGAUUGUUAGGUUCGUGAGUGAAUCAAGAAGAUUUAGAAAUUAGAGUUUUCAUUUGGUUUCGAGUUUGUCUAGAAUUGAUAAGAGUAUUGGGUUGUUGAGAGUGAUGAAAAAGGAGGGUUUAUGUUUAAUUUAUUUAUGGAGUUGUUUUAAUGAAGGAGUGAAUAAUUAGGGUUUCUGAGAUUUGAAAUCGGUUGAAGAUUUAUGAGCAAUUAAGGAUGGAAUUAAGUAAUUAAUGGAGGGUUCUAUGCGUUGGAAGCAAAGAAGAUAAAUCAAAGUUCGAUUCUCAAACUUCGAAGAAGAUUCAAAGAAUUAAGGUUCAUGUGUUCUUCACCAAAUUGAAAUUAGGGUUUGAGUAGAAUUGAGUUGGUGAAUUGACAAUUCAGAAGAUGUUCAAGCUUGGUUGCAGGUGUGGAUGAUUAAGACAAGUGGUAGUAGUGGUGUUGAAUGUAUGGAGAUUACAGGUAGUUGUGGUGAUGAUGUUUUUGCUGCGGUAUCUUGGAUUGCAGGGAAGGGGUUGGUGGUCUACAAUUGAACUGGUGAUGCACAAGAAGCUGCAGAUAGUUGAGCUAAGAGGUGGAGUGAGUCUGUUGUUGUGCUGUGAAGAAACUGAGGAAGGGGUGUUAAAGUUAGGGGAUGCUGAUAAGAUACUGGUGUUGAGAAUUGAGUUGCAGGAUUGAAUGUGUGAUGUUAAUGAUGUUUAGAGGAUAUCUGAACUGUUUCAGGUGUACAGAUUGUUGGUGAUAUUGAACUGGAAUGAGGUUACAGUUCAAGAGAUGUUAGUAUUGGGAGUUCAAGGUGGCUGUGUGUUGUUCAAGAUGAGAUGAUGAACCUCAGAUGUGGAAGGUGAAUCAAAUACUGGUGGUUUGAGUCUUAAUAGGGGUUGAGCUGAAUGCAAGUUGCAUUUGGUAGUGAAUGUGAAGAAUUGUGUUAUAGUUACCGGUGCAGGCAGUGUGUGUAUGGUGUAUGGAAUUGAUUAGUUGCAAAUGAAUGUUGAGUUGGUAUUGCAGUUGAAGUAAGUGGCAUUGUAAUGUUGAGGAUGGUGAUUGUAGAGUUGUAAAUAGUGAGUGUCGUGAAAGCUUGGAACUACUGCAAUUGCAGGUAGGCAUAGUCCUUGUUUGUAAUUAGAAUUUAAAGUUUGUUUACUAUAUUUGAAUUGAUGUUGUUGCGUUAAAAUGAAAGUUAAUAAUGUAAGUUUUCUAGUUGAAGUGAAGCUGCAUUAUAUUUAGA